GAUCCAGUGGCGAAGUGGUUUCGCGUCCGCCUAGCUUGCCAAGUUAGUUGAUGUUCUGCGGAAGACACCCGUUCGAUUCGGGUCUGGGUCA
Molecule: non-coding RNA, 91 nt
Organism: Mycena latifolia
Lineage: Eukaryota; Fungi; Basidiomycota; Agaricomycetes; Agaricales; Mycenaceae
Source: the annotation of a GenBank genome assembly